ACCAGACUCCUACGGGAGGCAGCAGUGGGGAAUAUUGCACAAUGGGGGAAACCCUGAUGCAGCGACGCCGCGUGAGUGAAGAAGUAUUUCGGUAUGUAAAGCUCUAUCAGCAGGAACGAAACAAGACGGUACCUGACUAAGAAGCCCCGGCUAACUACGUGCCAGCAGCCGCGGUAAUACGUAGGGGGCAAGCGUUAUCCGGAAUCACUGGGUGUAAAGGGAGCGUAGACGGCUGAGCAAGCCUGAAGUGAAAGGCGGGGGCCCAACCCCCGGACUGCUUUGGAAACUGGACGGCUGGAGUGCAGGAGAGGUAAGUGGAAUUCCUAGUGUAGCGGUGAAAUGCGUAGAUAUUAGGAGGAACACCAGUGGCGAAGGCGGCUUACUGGACUGUAACUGACGUUGAGGCUCGAAAGCGUGGGGAGCAAACAGGAUUAGAUACCCGUGUA
RNAcentral lists this ribosomal RNA (446 nucleotides) under uncultured bacterium. RNAcentral's name for it is "bacterial SSU rRNA". It matches the Rfam family "Bacterial small subunit ribosomal RNA", at positions 330 to 792 of the family's 1533-position model. The record is from RNAcentral.